This 1183-nucleotide long non-coding RNA is filed under the name Olea europaea (common olive). RNAcentral describes it as "long non-coding RNA (OEUR_LNC004563)". The record is from RNAcentral. Lineage: Eukaryota; Viridiplantae; Streptophyta; Magnoliopsida; Lamiales; Oleaceae.
AGCUGAAUUUAUAAAAUUGUCUGUGAACAUAUAUGCGUCUUUACUUGUACAUAUCUUUAUUAAGUUUAAUACAUACACAACUUUCAUAAAUAGAGUCCAAACAUUAUCACUAGUUUUUUUUACAUACCAACAUGCUCGAAUACUUUGACGUGUGAUGCGAUUCAUUUAUAAAAAUUACACACGACAACUUUAAGGCGACAUCUAAAAAGUAAUUACAUUUAAUUUUGUCGCCUUAAAUCAUUGUAGAAUUUCAUUAUAAACUUCUCCGCAGCUUCAUCCACGCGAUUGUCCUCCUCAUUGACAUCUUGCAAUGGAAAUGGAGAGUCUGUAAUCCUCAGUUUCCUAACCAUAGGGCUCUUUCCGAACCCUGGCAUUGCAGGUGAUGCCGCCGUACUGUUAAGCAUCUCCAAGGUCCUCACCACCGUAGUCAAGGUAACAAUAUCAUCCUCCUCCGUAGCCGGUGGCAGCGGUGGGGAGAAGAGAUAGUCAUGGUGAUUGUGUUUGUUGGGAAUCUACUUAUACAUGCACAGCGGAAUUUAAAAUAAUUUUCGAUUCCCACCAAGAAUCGCCUUUGUGUUUAGAUAGAAAUUGUGAUAAGAUUGUACCUUUUCCAGAUUUGCAAUCCUUUUGCUUUUCUUUUCGUUCCACAACUUUGAUUCGCCACCACAACUGUCCAAUUGUUCAGUCUCCAACGGUGGUCCACACAGAGAAUAUGAUUGCAGCCUCUAGGGUUUUUUCUUGUGCUAGCAAGAAUAAUGAAAACCCUCAUGGACCUCAAACCCUAGUUAUGUAUUUAUAUAAACCCAAACAGGCUCGACCCGGUCCGGUCCAAUAAUUAAUUAAUCCAAUUAAUUAAACCCAGUCCGUGAAUCAAUUAAUCCAAUUAAUUAAUUCAAAAAUAUAAAUAACAAAUCCAAUUAAUUAAUUUAUCCAACGAUUGUUAAAUUAAUUAAUUGGCAAUUUGCAAUCUUCUAAUUCUCUUUUGUGUGUGACCCAUUAGGUUCCCGACCACGAUGCCUAACGACGUGAAAUAUUAUUUUGAUCUAAUCAAAAUUGAUAAAUUAAAACACCCUCUUAAUUUAUCGUCAAUUCACAUUCGCCGUCCCUGAUUGACAUCUAGCAAUAUGUCAGGGCAAUACAUGUGACGGGAAAUGUCACGUGGUAUGACAAAACCAAAUUCGUU